This 521-nucleotide ribosomal RNA is filed under the name uncultured bacterium. Its description in RNAcentral is "bacterial SSU rRNA". It matches the Rfam family "Bacterial small subunit ribosomal RNA", at positions 36 to 524 of the family's 1533-position model. The record is from RNAcentral.
UACCUCGCGGCGGCAUUACCAUGCGAGUCGAACUGGUAGCCGGCAGAAUCUUGCUUCUUUGCCGACGAGUGAUGGACAGGUGAGUAAUGCUUGGGAGAUCCCGUCUUAUGGAGGGGGAUAAUCGAUCGGGGCAAACUGUGCUGUCUCAUGCCGCGUAAUGUCUACCGAUUACAGGGUGGGACCUUCAGGACACCUGCCCUAAGAUGAGCCCAACUGGGAUUACGUUAAGGUAGGUGAGGGUUACACGCCUACCUUGCCUGUCCAUCUCCUGCUGCGCCUCUACAGGAUGACAAACCUCUCCUGGCACUGAGCACUUAGUCCAUCACUCCUACGGGAGGCCACAGGGGGGAAUCUUGUUGAGUGCUCGGAACCCUGAUCCAUCCCUGACUCGCGAAUCUCGAACGUCUUCCUGCUGUAAAGGUCUUUCGGUCGCUCGGUAGGUGUUUUGUUGAUUUCCCCAAACUCUUGACAUUACCUACGAAAGAAGCUGCGACUAACUCGGCGCCAGCAGCCCCGGAACU